CAACGACGAUUAACGAUUCAUCGAUCAGGGGAUGGGAUGCGUCUGAGUAGCUUGUGGGAGGGGUAACGGUCCACCAAGGCUACGAUCAGUAGGGGUUCUGAGAGGAAGGUUCCCUCAUUGGAACUGAGACACGCUCUAACCUCCUACGGGAGGCAGCAGUGAGGAAUAUUGGUCAAUGGGCGAGAGCCUGAACCAGCCAAGUAGCGUGCAGGAUGACGGCCCUGUGGGUUGUAAACUGCUUUUAUGCGGGGAUAAAGUGAGGGACGUGUCCUUCAUUGCAGGUACCGCAUGAAUAAGGACCGGCUAAUUCCGUGCCAGCAGCCGCGGUAAUACGGAAGGUCCGGGCGUUAUCCGGAUUUAUUGGGUUUAAAGGGAGAGUAGGCCGUGGAUUAAGCGUGUUGUGAAAUGCAGGUGCUCAACGUCUGCACUGCAGCGCGAACUGGUUCACUUGAGUGUGCGCAACGCAGGCGGAAUUCGUUGUGUAGCGGUGAAAUGCUUAGAUAUGACGAAGAACUCCGAUUGCGAAGGCAGCUUGCGGGAGCACAACUGACGCGAAGCUCGAAAGUGCGGGUAUCGAACAGG
Molecule: ribosomal RNA, 582 nt
Filed under: uncultured Prevotella sp.
Lineage: Bacteria; Pseudomonadati; Bacteroidota; Bacteroidia; Bacteroidales; Prevotellaceae
Description: bacterial SSU rRNA
Rfam family: Bacterial small subunit ribosomal RNA
Source: RNAcentral